Molecule: long non-coding RNA, 2192 nt
Filed under: Mus musculus (house mouse)
Lineage: Eukaryota; Metazoa; Chordata; Mammalia; Rodentia; Muridae
Description: predicted gene 45470
Source: RNAcentral
GUGGCCCGGUACCUUGUCUAAGACCACGUAUGUUAAAGGAGGGAAGACUCAAACAAGGCCAGAACCUCUCUGGUGAAAAAGAAGCUGGAACCACGGAAGGAAGUAGUUUGGCUAUACUGCUCUGAUUAGACUGCAUCUCCCUCCUUUUCCCAUGGAGCCUGUGUUAGGGAAAGGAGAUGAGCUGAGAUCAGAGGGGCAAAGGGCAACAUAAUGAGGAAGGUCUCUCCUCCAGGAUGGAGAAGGAAGAGAUAACAAGCCAUUGGAAUCUGUUUCAUGCGGUGGCAAUGUUAAGAUUUGGGGACAAGACGAAGCCAUUGUUCUAAGGAACCCAAAGAGGGCUGAUGACAUUCUUUGGAUGGCCAUACGUUUAGCAGAGGAGGGAGGAAGAGAUGAAGAUGAAGAGGAGGAGGAGGAGGAGGAGGAGGAGAAGAAGAAGAAGAAGAAGAAGAAGAAGAAGAAGAAGAAGAAGAAGAGAGAGAACAGUAACAGUAACUAGGAAUGGUAUAGACUUUUGAAACCUCAAAGUCCUCUCCCAAGUGACACACCUCUUUCAACAAUGCCACACCUCCUAAUCCUUCCCAAACAGUCCCAUCAAGUGAGGACCAAGUAUUUAAAUAUAUGAGCCUAUGGGAGCCAUUCUCAUACCAAUUUGGGCCUCCCUUAGCUGAGUUACAUAAUAGUGACACAUAAAAUUAGUCAUCACAAUAAGCAGUCUUUUAUAGCUUUUGUGUGUUGAAGCUUAGAGGGGCUACUGACCAGUCAUAAACCUAAUGGUGUACACUGACCUCCCAGUCUUGGCUUUCAGUUAGGUUCCUUCCUACUAUACUGAGCUUUGGGACCGGAAAAGUAGACUUCAUCUCGGAACACCUGUAUCCACUGAAAUGUUUUUAAAAUCACUAGUAUCCUUCCUUGAAAGAAUGGACAUAGGGGAUGAUCUUCAAGGGGACAAGGACUUGAAUAGGUACCUAUCCAAAGAUGUAUAAAUGACCAGCACCAGUGUGAAGACAUGCUAAGUACCAUGAGUUAUCAGGGAAAGGGAAAUCAAACACAGACUGAGGCCUGACUUUAUGCUUAGUGGGAUGACUAAAAUUAAACAUGGAGAAAACAAGUAUUAAAAAAGGCCAUCGAGGGAAGGGGACCCUCAUGCAAUUGCUGCAGGGCUGUAACUGUAGAAAAUGUUUUGUUUCACAGGAAGUUAAAGACUAACCUCACAAUACCAUGAGAAGUGGAAAAAGGGACCCAAACAGAAACCUAUACACCAUGUUGAUUGCAGUCAACAAAAUAGCACAACACUUGGAGGAUGUCUACAAAGGGGUUUUCAGCUCUGAAAUGAAUGGAUCCUGAAAACAUUAAGUUAGGCAAAAUAAGUCAGACAUGAAUAGACAAAUACUGCCUGAGUACACUGACAUGAAGUAUUUAGAAUAGGCAAACUCACAGAGACAGAAAGUAGGUAAGAGUUAACCAGGGGCUGAAGGGAGGGAGAGGGGGAAAGUAUUGCCUAACCCUAAUGGGAGCAGAAUUUCUAUUUGGGGUCAUGAAAAACAUUUAAAAAUAAAUAGUAACAAUGAUUACACAAUAUUGUGUUUGUAAUUAAUGCCCCUGAGUUGUACAUUUAAAAAUUGUUGAAACAGCCACUGUGACAGCUGAUGCCUGCAAUCCUGUCUUGGGAAGUCGAGGUGGAAGGGCCAUGAGUUCCCAAUUAGCCUGGGAUACAUAGUGAAGCUCCACCUCAAAAAAUAUUUAAAAUAAAAAUGUCAUUGCUUAAUAAAUAAACAGAAUAAACUGGCUAAGAUGAAAUUACGUUUGCCACAAUUAAAGAAUCUUUAAUGCAAGUGGGAUAGAAAGGGAAGGAGAAAUAAUGAGACGAGAAGGGUUAAGUGUGGAGAGAAAUGGGAGGCCAGGGUAGAGGAGUGAGUGUGGGGAAGAGUGUGUGUAUGUGUGUGUGUGUGUGUGUGUGUGUGUGGGCGGGGGGGGGGGUAAUAGCUAACAGACAUUGUGACCAUGGAAACUCUUAUAAGGGAAAACAUUUAAUUGGGACUGACUUACAGUUCAGAGGUUUUGUCUGUAGGAAACAUGAUGGCAUGCAGGCAGAUAUGCUGCUGAAGAGGCAGCUGAGAGCUCUACAUCUGGAUUGGCAGCAGGAAAAGAGUGUGAUUCUGGGGCUGGCUUGAGCAUUUGAAACCUUAGAGCCC